CAGAACGAACGCUGGCGGCAGGCUUAACACAUGCAAGUCGAGCGCUGUAGCAAUACAGAGCGGCAGACGGGUGAGUAACGCGUGGGAACAUACCCUUCGGUUCGGAAUAGCUCAGGGAAACUUGAAUUAAUACCGGAUACGGCCGGGAGGCGAAAGAUUAUCGCCGAAGGAUUGGCCCGCGUUCGAUUAGCUAGUUGGCGAGGUAACGGCUCACCAAGGCGACGAUCGAUAGCUGGUCUGAGAGGAUGAUCAGCCACAUUGGGACUGAGACACGGCCCAAACUCCUACGGGAGGCAGCAGUGGGGAAUAUUGGACAAUGGGCGCAAGCCUGAUCCAGCCAUGCCGCGUGAGUGAUGACGGCCUUAGGGUUGUAAAGCUCUUU
RNAcentral lists this ribosomal RNA (382 nucleotides) under uncultured bacterium. RNAcentral's name for it is "bacterial SSU rRNA". It matches the Rfam family "Bacterial small subunit ribosomal RNA", at positions 25 to 436 of the family's 1533-position model. The record is from RNAcentral.